AGACCCGAAACCCGGUGAUCUAGCCAUGGGCAGGUUGAAGGUUGGGUAACACUAACUGGAGGACCGAACCGACUAAUGUUGAAAAAUUAGCGGAUGACCUGUGGCUGGGGGUGAAAGGCCAAUCAAACCGGGAGAUAGCUGGUUCUCCCCGAAAGCUAUUUAGGUAGCGCCUCGUGAAUUCAUCUCCGGGGGUAGAGCACUGUUUCGGCUAGGGGGCCAUCCCGGCUUACCAACCCGAUGCAAACUGCGAAUACCGGAGAAUGUUAUCACGGGAGACACACGGCGGGUGCUAACGUCCGUCGUGAAGAGGGAAACAACCCAGACCGCCAGCUAAGGUCCCAAAGUCAUGGUUAAGUGGGAAACGAUGUGGGAAGGCCCAGACAGCCAGGAUGUUGGCUUAGAAGCAGCCAUCAUUUAAAGAAAGCGUAAUAGCUCACUGGUCGAGUCGGCCUGCGCGGAAGAUGUAACGGGGCUAAACCAUGCACCGAAGCUGCGGCAGCGAACGUAUCACUUAAAGCGAUUCAGCGGGUUACGAUUGACGGAGCGAAGCGACGUCAAAGCGUAUACAAAGUCGAGUCGGUUUAAGGAUACGUUCGUUGGGUAGGGGAGCGUUCUGUAAGCCUGUGAAGGUGGCCUGUGAGGGUUGCUGGAGGUAUCAGAAGUGCGAAUGCUGACAUAAGUAACGAUAAAGCGGGUGAAAAGCC
This 704-nucleotide ribosomal RNA is filed under the name Salmonella enterica. RNAcentral's name for it is "partial 23S ribosomal RNA". It matches the Rfam family "Bacterial large subunit ribosomal RNA", at positions 711 to 1330 of the family's 2925-position model. RNAcentral also lists the same sequence under 2 other names. The record is from RNAcentral. Lineage: Bacteria; Pseudomonadati; Pseudomonadota; Gammaproteobacteria; Enterobacterales; Enterobacteriaceae.